This 392-nucleotide ribosomal RNA is filed under the name Paracoccus marcusii. RNAcentral's name for it is "bacterial SSU rRNA". It matches the Rfam family "Bacterial small subunit ribosomal RNA", at positions 29 to 447 of the family's 1533-position model. Lineage: Bacteria; Pseudomonadati; Pseudomonadota; Alphaproteobacteria; Rhodobacterales; Paracoccaceae. The record is from RNAcentral.
AACGAACGCUGGCGGCAGGCUUAACACAUGCAAGUCGAGCGAGACCUUCGGGUCUAGCGGCGGACGGGUGAGUAACGCGUGGGAACGUGCCCUUCUCUACGGAAUAGCCCCGGGAAACUGGGAGUAAUACCGUAUACGCCCUUUGGGGGAAAGAUUUAUCGGAGAAGGAUCGGCCCGCGUUGGAUUAGGUAGUUGGUGGGGUAAUGGCCCACCAAGCCGACGAUCCAUAGCUGGUUUGAGAGGAUGAUCAGCCACACUGGGACUGAGACACGGCCCAGACUCCUACGGGAGGCAGCAGUGGGGAAUCUUAGACAAUGGGGGCAACCCUGAUCUAGCCAUGCCGCGUGAGUGAUGAAGGGCCUUAGGGUUGUAAAGCUCUUUCAAGCUGGGAA